RNAcentral lists this long non-coding RNA (332 nucleotides) under Mytilus galloprovincialis (Mediterranean mussel). The record is from RNAcentral. Lineage: Eukaryota; Metazoa; Mollusca; Bivalvia; Mytilida; Mytilidae.
AGAAAAUGUUAAAAGUAUAAAAUGUUGUAUGAUACAUGUAUAUAUCUUUCAAAUCAGGAUAUGCAUAACAUUGAAUAAUAGUUUCAUACAAAAUAAAGUAAUAAUAUAAACGUUACAAAUUGUACUACACCUGACGCCAUUUCGACAUUCAUUUCUCUUUUGUGAUCUCAAGGCCUCAGUACUUAAAAAUACAAAAUGUAAUACAAACAUUGAAGAGCUGACGAUAAGAUCAUCAAUAGAAAACUGCUUGUUAUACCUGCAAAGUUAUAUGUUGCCAAACAUUUAUAAUUGUCAUUCUGUAUUACAGUUCACAAAUAUGAGCAUGCCACCGA